CAAUGUGCUUUGCCUUGCAUUGGUCUGCUGCCUGCUGACAGAAUGCUCGGUGGCAGAGAUGACAAUUCCCUGCAGUGUGCUUGGGAGGCCUUACUGAGGUCACAACUGAGAAUACCAAAUUCAGGACAAACUGCUGAGAAAGAGGGCAGACACCCCCCAAAGCUGGUGGUUAUUUUCCGAGAUGAUAUACCAAACCAGCAACACAAGUAAACUUCUGUCUCACCACACUGGCUAACAAGAAGUCAGAACUGCAGCCUCCUUGGGUAGUCCAGUCCUGGAUUCAACACCCAGACACUCAUAAUGAUGAGUGGUUAUUUAAAACCAAUUUCAUCAGCCAAAGGAUUCUUCUGAUCCCAAAGGACCGGCCACAUACCCAGGCCAAUGAAUAACUCAGAUCUUGCCCAAUAAUCAUGCUGUUGCCAAUCCUUUAGUAUCUGUUAUCUAAAGAUUUAUUUAUAAAAAGAAAGAUGAGAGUUAAAAUUGGUUAAAGGCUCAAAUACACACAAUAAAUGCAACGUUCUUGGACAGGCUUGUAGCCGGGAUGGAAUAAACUGCUGGCUUGUUAAGUCUCUGGUUGCUUCCAAAGCAUUGGAAGGUCCUCAGUCCCUUAGUCAGAAUGCUCCCAAUAAUAUAAGUCCGUAGUCCAGAGGUCUGAGCAGGAAAAAGGCAAAACGGAGAUGUUUCCAGGGCCUUUUAUAGCUUCUGCCAAAUGAAGGGAAACCCAUUGUUCUAGUUUGUGGAAAAUUACAGGUAACAAGAUGGUGCUUGCACUCACAUGGGCAAGUCACAUGUCCACGCAUGCUUUGCUUAGUCAUAGUAGAGGCCAUUACCCUUACGCCAGUUCAGCAUUUCUCUCAUGUGGCCACUAGAGACUUUUCUUGUGGCCACAGUCUCCUGGUCAGGGGGG
Gopherus evgoodei (Goodes thornscrub tortoise) is the source of this 907-nucleotide long non-coding RNA. RefSeq lists it as uncharacterized. Lineage: Eukaryota; Metazoa; Chordata; Testudines; Testudinidae. The transcript has 2 exons. The record is from RefSeq and is a predicted model, not a curated record.